UGGGGAAUUUUGGACAAUGGGCGCAAGCCUGAUCCAGCCAUGCCGCGUGCGGGAAGAAGGCCUUCGGGUUGUAAACCGCUUUUGUCAGGGAAGAAAUCUUCUGAGUUAAUACCUCGGGAGGAUGACGGUACCUGAAGAAUAAGCACCGGCUAACUACGUGCCAGCAGCCGCGGUAAUACGUAGGGUGCAAGCGUUAAUCGGAAUUACUGGGCGUAAAGCGUGCGCAGGCGGUUUUGUAAGACAGAGGUGAAAUCCCCGGGCUCAACCUGGGAACUGCCUUUGUGACUGCAAGCUUGAGUGCGGCAGAGGGGGAUGGAAUUCCGCGUGUAGCAGUGGAAAUUGCGUAGAUAUGCGGAGGAACACCGAUGGCGAAGCAAUCCCCUGGGCCUGCACUGACGCUCAUGC
Molecule: ribosomal RNA, 405 nt
Filed under: uncultured bacterium
Lineage: Bacteria
Description: partial 16S ribosomal RNA
Rfam family: Bacterial small subunit ribosomal RNA
Source: RNAcentral